Molecule: ribosomal RNA, 253 nt
Filed under: uncultured bacterium
Lineage: Bacteria
Description: partial 16S ribosomal RNA
Rfam family: Bacterial small subunit ribosomal RNA
Source: RNAcentral
UACGUAGGGGGCGAGCGUUAUCCGGAUUCACUGGGUGUAAAGGGAGCGUAGACGGCCAUGCAAGCCAGGGGUGAAAGCCCGGGGCCCAACCCCGGGACUGCCCUUGGAACUGCAUGGCUGGAGUGCGGGAGGGGCAGGCGGAAUUCCUGGUGUAGCGGUGAAAUGCGUAGAUAUACGGAGGAACACCAGUGGCGAAGGCGGAUUGCUGGACAGUAACUGACGCUGAGGCGCGAAAGCGUGGGGAGCAAACAGG